UACGUAGGGUGCAAGCGUUGUCCGGAAUUAUUGGGCGUAAAGAGCUCGUAGGCGGUUUGUCGCGUCAGCUGUGAAAACUCGAGGCUCAACCUCGAGACGUCGGUUGAAACCGUAAGGCUAGAGUCCGGAAGAGGAGAGUGGAAUUCCCGGUGUAGCGGUGAAAUGCGCAGAUAUCGGGAAGAACACCCGUGGCGAAGGCGGCUCUCUGGGACGGUACUGACGCUGAGACGCGAAAAGCGUGGGGGAGCGAACAGG
RNAcentral lists this ribosomal RNA (255 nucleotides) under uncultured bacterium. RNAcentral's name for it is "partial 16S ribosomal RNA". It matches the Rfam family "Bacterial small subunit ribosomal RNA", at positions 524 to 776 of the family's 1533-position model. The record is from RNAcentral.